AGACGUCUACAUUAGAUACCCGGGUAGUCCCAGCCGUAAACGAUGCGCGUUAGGUGUAUCGACGACCACGAGUCGUCGAGGUGCCGAAGGGAAACCGUGAAACGUGCCGCCUGGGAAGUACGGUCGCAAGGCUGAAACUUAAAGGAAUUGGCGGGGAGCACCACAACGGGUGGAGCCUGCGGUUUAAUUGGACUCAACGCCGGGAAGCUCACCGGAUAAGACAGCGGAAUGAUUGCCGGGCUGAAGACUCUGCAUGACUAGCUG
This 264-nucleotide ribosomal RNA is filed under the name uncultured archaeon. Its description in RNAcentral is "partial 16S ribosomal RNA". It matches the Rfam family "Archaeal small subunit ribosomal RNA", at positions 717 to 982 of the family's 1478-position model. The record is from RNAcentral.